AAUCAGUGACGUCACUCGCUCUGAGACCUGAAGUGGUUGUUCCCCUUGCUCGGCAAGGGCCGCGGCUUUUGUGGCGCGAUGGGUAACAAUGCUUCGUGGGUGUCAGUUGUUGAUGUGUGCAAGGGUCCCUGGUUCGAGCCCGGGCUGGGGCGAAGAGAGGGACGGAACCUACACUGUUACAUUGGGAGGAAACAUAUUACAAUAAACAGGUAAGAUUCAUCCCACAAAAAACAUAAACAACAGAAAGAGUUGUAUUUCAAGACAGUUUAGAGAAGUUGGUCAUAAAAGUUCUUAAUAUCACUUGCAAAUUGUGAGGCAUGAGCAGUUGUGAAAUGUUGCGAGAGGCCCUUCUGAAAGCACAUAUGGUAUUUCGUGGCACGGUCUCACACCUUACCUCAUCUUGCAGAAGAAGCUCAUGGUCCACUAUCUGCUGCUCCAGAGUCAAGGCCAGGUCUCGCCCCAUGUCACCACAGAGCACAUGAGCGACUGGCUGGUGUUCAAGGGCAAAAAAUCCCUUAGGGAGAGGUGAGAACCACGUCAGCACUCACCUUCACUGCCAUUCCCUGCCAAUACCAGCAUUACUCCAAGAGGUGUGGGUAAAAUAAACAGAAAAAUCGGAGCCCAGGAAAGUUGAAUUGCUCUGUGUUUUAUUUGAAGGUUGUGGAAAGAAACCCUGGAGGAGGGGAACGAACUCGCCCGGCUGGCCUGGGAAGUAAACACUUGCUUAAAAAUGAUAGACAUAGAGCACGAGGCUGUCUGCAAGCUCCGCCGCUCCAUCCUCCCCACCUCGCCAGCUGACAUUGACCUUAAGGUCCACACCAUCGUGGAGAGAGCUGUGAGGAGCAUUCUGGGCAAGCUGUCCUCACUCUGCAAGGACGGGAUAGGACACAUCACAACACUGCUGCUCAUUCAUAUUCAAACACACCUCAGAGUAUGCACACAAACAUGGACGCACACACACAUUGGCGCGCACCCCACACAAUGAACUUACCUGUACAUAUCAGAAUCAUACAUUCGACAGCCACCUCUUCCCCCACAUUUCUUGAUUCCCCCACCUCAAACAUGUUGAGUCAAUCAAAGCCCAGAUGCUGGAAUGGUGCUGGAAUGCAGGUGCAGUAGGGCCUAGUAUGUAAUGGUGUGGUACCCUAUAUCCUAAAUCCUGUCUUUGUGUUUUUUUAUUUAAUCUUUAUUGAAACAGGGAGUCACAUUGAGAUUAAACAUUAUUUUACAAGAGAGCCCUGUACAAGUUGAAGUCAUAUUGAACAACUACCAGACAGAACCUUCUCUACGUGGGAAAUGCAUACCUGUCACGUUGGUAUGAAAGAUCGGGAGACAGGCG
Molecule: long non-coding RNA, 1339 nt
Filed under: Salmo salar (Atlantic salmon)
Lineage: Eukaryota; Metazoa; Chordata; Actinopteri; Salmoniformes; Salmonidae
Description: lncRNA (ENSSSAG00000114014.1)
Source: RNAcentral